AUUUAAUAGCAUCUUUUACCACAGCAGCAUGUGUCCAUGGUGAAGAAUAUGAUGGAUGGAAUGACUAUCCACCGUCACCACCCCAACCCACGCUUCCACUCCAACCGCCGCCACCAAAUGUCAACCAAACCCACCAACACCUUUCCUUACACCCACCACUCCAAUUUCUCACACCCACUCCAAUAAUAACAACCUUUAUAAACCCAAAACACCCACCACACACACCACACCACACCACACCCUCUCUCAUCAUGGCCACCCCAAACGACGCCGCUUCGCCGACCAAGAAGCCUCAACCCAUCCCCUGGACCCACCAAGAAACUGUCCACCUCAUCGGCGCCUACCAGGAGAAGUGGUACGCGCUCAAGCGCGGCCCACUCCGCCACAACCAGUGGGAGGAGGUCGCCGUCAUCGUCGCCGCCCGCUGCGGCUACGACCUCGCGUACCCCGCCAAGUCCGCCCUCCAGUGCCGCCACAAGAUGGAGAAGCUCCGCCAGCGCCACCGCGCCGAAAAGAAACACGUCGCCGCCACGCUCCGUCCCGCCGCCUGGCAGUACAACGCUCUCAUGGAGGACCUCGAAUGCGGUCCCCUCCCCAUCUCCGCCCUCGCCCCGUUCCAAAACGACACCGAUUCAGAUCCCGACGACGACGGCACUUAUCGGAACGGCAAUAAUGGCGAUGAGAGCUUUGUGAAGUCGAAGAGUAUUAACUGUAUUCUCGGCGAGAGGCCCGUGAGAAUGAAAAGCGGUGAAAGAGGGUUUUUGAGGGAGCGUGCUGAAGAAGAACGAGACGAAGACGACGAUGACGAUCGCGACGACGAUGUUUUGGCGUUGCCGGCGGAGAUUAGGGCUUUCGCUGAGAGGUUUAUUGGAAUGGAGAGUUUGAAGAUGGAAAUGAUGAAGGAAACUGAAAGGUGUAGGUUGGAGAUGGAGAAGAAGCGGAUCCAGAUGAUUGUGGAUUCGCAGCGGAGGAUCGUUGAUUCCAUUGGGAGGGCGUUUGGGUCUAACAAGAGGGUCAAGAUUACUCAACAAAUCUGAAAGAGAUUGUGAAAUAUAUAAUGAUCGAGAUAAACUCUGAAUGGUUUCUACUAUGGAAGAGUCUACAGAAAUAGUUGCAUAGCGUGCUGCUAGUUGUUUAUUCUAUUUAUUAUUGCAUUUGAAGUCUGUACUUCUCACAUUAAUGAGGGGUUAUUUUAGAGCCAAAGAUUGUGCUUGACUAGCUUGAUGGCUUCUUACCCAGUUUCUUAAGACUAGGGGAUUGUGUUACUGGUUGAAGCCUCCAUAAUGAUUCUGUUUCUGGUUCAAGCCUUCACUAACCCACGUAUUUUCUUUUCCAUCGUAAUGGCUACUGCUUUCAAUUCUCUAAGAACACCAGGGAAAAGUAGUUAUUGUGCAUUUGUCUAUAUAUCCACUUAUUAAUGAGUAAUGAUGAAAAUUUCCUCA
This is an RNA transcript of Vigna angularis (adzuki bean), 1442 nucleotides long. It is a transcript of the gene named trihelix transcription factor ENAP2, with no coding region annotated. The record is from RefSeq and is a predicted model, not a curated record. NCBI's taxonomy places the organism in Eukaryota, Viridiplantae, Streptophyta, Magnoliopsida, Fabales, Fabaceae. The transcript has 3 exons.